This 107-nucleotide small RNA is filed under the name Marmota monax (woodchuck). The record is from RNAcentral. Lineage: Eukaryota; Metazoa; Chordata; Mammalia; Rodentia; Sciuridae.
GCCAGGCAUGGUGAUAUGUGCCUGUAAUCCAAGUGACUUGGGAGGCUGAAACAGGAGGAUCACAAGUUUGAGUACAGCUUCAGCAACUUAGUGAGACCCUGUCUCAA